CUUGAUAGCUUUUUUUUUCAUUAUUGCAAAUUCUCAGCUAGAACAACAUGGCGUAUCUGCGCAAAUUUUCUAUUGUGUUUUGUUUAUUAUUAAUCUCUAUAAUAUCUGGAACUGAAUCAAGCAAAGAUACCAAAAUUGCCUUUCCAAUUUUCAACGUCACCAGAUUGUGCUCCGAUCGGUUAUAUUUCGCAAGAAGUAGGAAGAUAAUAUGCUUAUUAUGCAAAGGAUUCGAUCCAUCGUGCCUACAAUAUUCAACCUCAAGUACAACUUCAAGUACCACCACUCCAACUACUACAACCAAUACAACGACAUCAGCAACUACUCCCAAAAUAAGUACAACAACUACUGAAGCUACAACUGCUGCAGAGUGAUGUCAUCAUUCUACUGUUGUUGCUUUAUAUUCGAGUAAAAUUAAAUUAUCCUGACAUUGGUAUUCCUGUCUUAA
Vanessa tameamea is the source of this 445-nucleotide long non-coding RNA. RefSeq lists it as uncharacterized. The record is from RefSeq and is a predicted model, not a curated record. NCBI's taxonomy places the organism in Eukaryota, Metazoa, Arthropoda, Insecta, Lepidoptera, Nymphalidae. The transcript is spliced from 3 exons.